CUGAGAGAUGCAGUUGUGAUGUUUGAUUUUUAUUAUUAUUAAAUAAAUUAGAUUAAUUGUACCGCAUGCUGGAAGACAUUAGGGAACUACUUCACUUGCCUGCACUUGCCUUUAGUAUAUUCUCAAAUUUGUACCUGUCAUUCUUCAAACCCAUUGGACAAGGUCUGGGGGAGGGACUUAAUUUCAUCCAAUAGACUGUAUGGGAUAUGUUGAAGGGGCCACUAGUUCCAUUUCCUGUACUCUCCCUAUAGUUCCCCUCAGUCUUCACAGCACAGUUCCUGUUUCAUUGUAGUGGAUGUGAUGUGAUGAAUGAACAUUCAUUUGACUGGGAUUUGUUCUCAGCACAACUGUGUCUCUGGGCCGGAACCUAGAGUCUGAGCAUGAUUCCGACAGCUACUCUAGACACUUGGCAUCGGUGCACAACCCUGAGGAAUUCCAGUUCCUGCAGGCACUAACACAGACUGUGAGCCUCCUGCUCUGGAUUGGAGGUUCAGCCCAGAGAAACCCUGGAAUGAUGCAACAUGUGGAAUGAAGUUUCCCUCCCUGUGUUCUCUAAGGACAGAGUAGAUCUGGCAGAAUCAGACUUCAGUGUCUCUGAACAGACUAAGGAUAAUCAAAAGCAUGAAUGUUCUUGUGAAUGCUCCUGAUUUGACUAAUAAAACAAGUGCACACAU
Long non-coding RNA from Esox lucius (northern pike), 674 nucleotides. RefSeq lists it as uncharacterized. The record is from RefSeq and is a predicted model, not a curated record. Lineage: Eukaryota; Metazoa; Chordata; Actinopteri; Esociformes; Esocidae. The transcript has 3 exons.